GGGGCUGUAGCUCAGCAGUAGAGUGCUUGCUUAGCAAGCAUGAAGACCUGAGUUCGAUUCCAAGUACUUCCA
RNAcentral lists this transfer RNA (72 nucleotides) under Mesocricetus auratus (golden hamster). It matches the Rfam family "tRNA". Rfam says of the family: Transfer RNA (tRNA) molecules are approximately 80 nucleotides in length. Their secondary structure includes four short double-helical elements and three loops (D, anti-codon, and T loops). Lineage: Eukaryota; Metazoa; Chordata; Mammalia; Rodentia; Cricetidae. The record is from Rfam by way of RNAcentral.